CGCGCCUCCCGACCCCGGCUGCGCUUCACGCCCGGGUGGUGUCCCGCCUGGUGCAUCUCUUUUACCCACUCUUUCGCCCAUCACCUUCGGCGAAUACCGUGAGAGCAAGGGCAGGGGAGGAAGCGUGAAGAAAACAAAAGCACACACCUCCUAAGCACACGCCUCCUGCUCACUCUGGACCCCGCCCCCGAAAGGGAAGGAACCGGGCAGCAGGGAGGGGGGGGCGACGCCUCAAGCGCCAUCUUUUACGUGGGCGGAAGAAGUUGCUGCUUAAUUUUUCGUUUCCUCGUGGGACGCCGUAGGUACGUCCUGGAGUUUUCGAUUUGCGAUUACGUGAACGCGCGAGCUCCGUGAGAGGGGCGGCGGGGACUGCUCCGCCGCGUGCGUCGGGAAGAUGCGGAGCGAGGUGUCGGCAGGUGUCGGCCGUGUUGUGUUUAGUGCGCGAGGCUGCUGGGCUCCCAGGAAGCCCGGGUAUAGGUGUCGUCAUCCAGCUUUGUGCAGUUUCAGAGCUCACUGAGACCUGGUACACACACCAGGCUGGUGGUACUAAGUUGAUGACAGCUCUUUCUCAGAAAUGUCUUCUGUGUUACUUCAGAGCUGGAGUUGAGGACUUGUUGAUUACCUCCGAUUUAUCAGGAUUACAGCAAAUUAGAUUUAACUGUGACUGGCAUGUGAACUAUCUGAUGUUUGGACAGGGAUGAGGAAUAUUGCUAUGGACACCACGGUGAGUUUCAUUUCUUUUAAGUAAUGAGAUUUUAUGUGCUUGCCUUAAUCAUUGCAGACUUAUCAAUAUGCACUUUAUGAUAUAUUAGCUUUUGGUUGAAAUAUGAAUGAGCCAACAACCAACUGAGGUACUUGCAGUUGGAACCUUGGUUACUGGAUAUAUUAAGUUAGUUCCGUGAAACAGUGUGGUAUAAAUGGUUUAGAAAGCUCUGGUAGGUCCACGUCUGUUCUAAUGAUGAGCAAGGUGGACAACACCCCUGUGAGUGAACAUUAGGGUCUCAUGUAUAUUUUCAGGUCCUUCUGAGACUCACCAUUCUAUAAACAAUAAGCUUCUCAAUGAGAGGAAUCACAUCCUCCACCAGGUAUUCACCUCUGUUCCUUCCUCCAUGCUGGUGCUCUGUACCUCACAAACCACAGCUGUGAAUGAUCUAAGGUCCCAGAUAAAGAGUCCUGAGGGAGAAGAAAUCCCUAGUUAAUUGCAGCAUCAUAAGAUGCACAGCAAGAAAGAGAACAAGUAGGAAGACAAGCCUACCAAUUUCUUAAAUCUUAGACGAGAUCAUUAGACAUCCUGAUAAGGUUGCCAUAAUCUGAUGGAAUUCAGAUGCAGUGGGUAGUGCGGAGUGAUAGUUUUGCUGCUGUCCUGCUAUAAUGCCUGAGUGACAGUGGACCAGUGGCAAAUGACUGGCAGCUUUCAAGCAUUCUGACUCCUUCUAUAGCCAUACACUUCCCAGGCCCAUUUCGGAAUGUGGCCCAGAGCCCGACUGCCUUCGGUUACCCUGACUUGCAGCUCUCAGCAUUUUCUUGUUUAUACUUGUACUUUACCACACUUACUAGUAUGUUGCUUUUAAAAGUAGUUUCUUUAUUUAUUUCAUGUGUGACUUCUGCCUCUCAACUUUGUCACGGGCUGUUUGAAACCCAGGACAGUGUGCUUACAAUUUCAUCUUCUAACUCCUUUGUUUUGGGCACAUAUCAGAUGAUUAGUACAUGCCAGCUGGCUGAUGGAAACUUCAUUUCAACUACUUAGAACUGUUACCCUUAGGCCAGGCUCCUGUCAUUUGAAAAUAGCUUUGACUUUAUGAGUCAGAGUCACUGUGUUGAAGGUUCAGGGUCACUUUGAUUUAAAGUGGGUGAGGAGUUCAUGUCUUUUUUGUCACCAGUGUCAUCUUUCCUACCUCUUCACCACACUGUUUCUUUAACAUAAAAAAGAAAUAGAAAACCUUAACUAUCCAUGGGGCAAUCUCAGGUCACUCAGUUUUAAAAUGUUUGACAUCUGGGUUUUUUUUUUUUUUAUUGAGUUAUGGUUGACAUACAAUGUUAGUUUUAGGAGUACAAUAUAGUGAUUAGACAUUCUGUGUAGUAUUUGUUGCUGAUCGUGAUAAGUGUAGUCAUCAUACAUGGUUAUUACAGUGUUAAUGACUAUAUUCCGUAUGCUGUACUUUUCAUCUCUGUGGCUUACUUGCUUUAUAACUGAAAAUUUGUACCUCUUAAUCUGACAUCUGUGGGGUUUUGACAUCUCUGUGCUCUGUUUGCUUCAAAAUUAUCUUAACAAAAUUGACCCUUUCUUUUCCAUGUGAGUAUAAGGACCAACUGGCCUCUAUCACAUUGAACUGGCCCCUAUCACAUUUAUGGUCUUUCUGCUAUAAGGAUGGCAUAUCUCUCUACUUACAACUUCUCAUAUAUUCUUUAAUUAGGUUUUAUAAUUUUUGUAGAAAAGAUACUUCACAUAUUUUUUGAGAUUUGUCCCAAGUUAUAUUUUAAUUGUUGCUAAUAAAAAAAAUGCUUCUUCUGAAAAUGACAUCUUAAAUUAUUUGUUGCUAGUGUGUAGUAUCACUAGUUUUGUAUGUUCAUCUUGUGUUUGGCAGCCUUGCUAACUGUUCUUAUCGUAAAUAAUUAAAAACAACAAUACAAAGAAAUAAGCCCCCCCCAAAAAAAGUACUAAUCAUUUCAUUCUCAUGUACAACUUUUAGUACCUGCCUAUUUCCCAUGUUUCUAGGGUCCUUAGCCUGACUAAACGUUUGCCACAAUCUGGCUCUAGCUGCAUUUUCAAGGCCGCAUUCUUUUUUUUUUUUU
Molecule: long non-coding RNA, 2793 nt
Filed under: Canis lupus familiaris (dog)
Lineage: Eukaryota; Metazoa; Chordata; Mammalia; Carnivora; Canidae
Description: lncRNA (ENSCAFG00845018927.1)
Source: RNAcentral